RNAcentral lists this ribosomal RNA (253 nucleotides) under uncultured bacterium. RNAcentral describes it as "partial 16S ribosomal RNA". It matches the Rfam family "Bacterial small subunit ribosomal RNA", at positions 524 to 776 of the family's 1533-position model. The record is from RNAcentral.
UACAGAGGUCUCAAGCGUUGUUCGGAUUCAUUGGGCGUAAAGGGUGCGUAGGCGGUAGGGUAAGUCUGGUGUGAAAUCCUGGAGCUUAACUUCAGAAAUGCACUGGAUACUGCCCUGCUAGAGGACUGGAGAGGAGAUUGGAAUUCACGGUGUAGCAGUGAAAUGCGUAGAUAUCGUGAGGAAGACCAGUGGCGUAAGCGAAUCUCUGGACAGUUCCUGACGCUGAGGCACGAAGGCUAGGGGAGCAAACGGG